UCUGGUGAUAAUGACGCGAAGGUAACACCCGUUCCCAUUCCGAACACGACGGUUAAGCUUCACAGUGCCAAUGGUACUGCAGAGGAGACUCUGUGGGAGAGUAGGUCGUUGCCAGGU
This 117-nucleotide ribosomal RNA is filed under the name Clostridiaceae bacterium UIB06. Lineage: Bacteria; Bacillati; Bacillota; Clostridia; Eubacteriales; Clostridiaceae. The record is from RNAcentral.